GCGAGUCAUUGUAGCAUACAAGGCGGACGGCUCAGUAACACGUAGUCAACCUAACUCGUGGACGUGGAUAACCUCGGGAAACUGAGAAUAAACCACGAUAGAUCAUAGUGCCUGGAAUGGCUUAUGGUCCAAACAGUUUACUGCCAUGGGAUGGGACUGCGGCCUAUCAGCUUGUUGGUGAGGUAAUGGCCCACCAAGGCGAUUACAGGUACGGGCUCUGAGAGGAGAAGCCCGGAGAUGGGUACUGAGACACGGACCCAGGCCCUAUGGGGCGCAGCAGGCGAGAAACCUUAGCAAUGUGCGAAAGCACGACUGGGUCAGUCCGAGUGAUUCCUGAUAAAGGAGUCUUUUGCUUGUCCUAAAAGCACAGGUGAAUAAGGGGUGGGCAAGUCUGGUGUCAGCCGCCGCGGUAAUACCAGCACCUCGAGUGGUCAGGACGUUUAUUGGGCCUAAAGCAUCCGUAGCCGGCUUUGCAAGUCUUCGGUUAAAUCCACCUGCUCAACAGAUGGGCCGCUGGAGAUACUACAGAGCUAGGGAGUGGGAGAGGCAGACGGUAUUCAGUGGGUAGGGGUAAAAUCCUCUGAUCCAUUGAGGACCACCAGUGGCGAAGGCGGUCUGCCAGAACACGUUCGACGGUGAGGGAUGAAAGCUGGGGGAGCAAACCGGAUUAGAUACCCGGGUAGUCCCAGCUGUAA
Molecule: ribosomal RNA, 695 nt
Filed under: uncultured archaeon
Lineage: Archaea
Description: bacterial SSU rRNA
Rfam family: Archaeal small subunit ribosomal RNA
Source: RNAcentral